This is a long non-coding RNA of Nylanderia fulva, 368 nucleotides long. RefSeq lists it as uncharacterized. NCBI's taxonomy places the organism in Eukaryota, Metazoa, Arthropoda, Insecta, Hymenoptera, Formicidae. The record is from RefSeq and is a predicted model, not a curated record.
AGUGAUGGAAAUAUAAUAAAUAUGGCCAAUAUUUCUCAAAUAAGUUUCAUGGGAACUGCUGUUUUCUUGGUACUUGCACAAAUCUUUCUCUAUUGCUUGGGCGGAGAUUUAAUAGCAGUACAUUACGACGAGGUAUACCGUACUAUUUGCGAUCUUAAGUGGUACAUAUUGGAGCGACGCCAGGCAAGAAACCUUAUUCUACCAAUGUUAGUAACUGAGAAACCUUUUUGCAUCACUGCAGGAAAAAUGUUUCCACUAACAAUGUCCACUUUUUGCAGUCUAUUAAAAACAGCGGCCGGAUAUAUAUCUCUUCUACUAACAAUGCAGAAUUAAAAUUCAGUACAUUUAGCAUUAGAUAAUUUUGAACA